This 465-nucleotide ribosomal RNA is filed under the name uncultured bacterium. RNAcentral's name for it is "partial 16S ribosomal RNA". It matches the Rfam family "Bacterial small subunit ribosomal RNA", at positions 28 to 507 of the family's 1533-position model. The record is from RNAcentral.
GACGAACGCUGGCGGCGUGCUUAACACAUGCAAGUCGAACGGAAAGGCCCCUUUGGGGGUACUCGAGUGGCGAACGGGUGAGUAACACGUGAGUAACCUGCCCUUGACUUCGGGAUAACUUCAGGAAACUGGGGCUAAUACCGGGUAGGAAUCCUUGCUGCAUGGUGGGGGUUGGAAAGCUUCGGCGGUUUUGGAUGGACUCGCGGCUUAUCAGCUUGUUGGUGGGGUAGUGGCUUACCAAGGCUUUGACGGGUAGCCGGCCUGAGAGGGCGACCGGCCACAUUGGGACUGAGAUACGGCCCAGACUCCUACGGGAGGCAGCAGUGGGGAAUAUUGCACAAUGGGCGGAAGCCUGAUGCAGCAACGCCGCGUGCGGGAUGACGGCCUUCGGGUUGUAAACCGCUUUCAGCAGGGGCGAAGCUUGUGGUGACGGUACCUGCAGAAGAAGCACCGGCUAACUACGUG